RNAcentral lists this ribosomal RNA (450 nucleotides) under uncultured bacterium. RNAcentral's name for it is "partial 16S ribosomal RNA". It matches the Rfam family "Bacterial small subunit ribosomal RNA", at positions 354 to 796 of the family's 1533-position model. The record is from RNAcentral.
GUGGGGAAUUUUGGACAAUGGGCGAAAGCCUGAUCCAGCCAUGCCGCGUGCAGGAUGAAGGCCUUCGGGUUGUAAACUGCUUUUGUACGGAACGAAAAGACUUCUUCUAAUACAGGAGGUCCAUGACGGUACCGUAAGAAUAAGCACCGGCUAACUACGUGCCAGCAGCCGCGGUAAUACGUAGGGUGCAAGCGUUAAUCGGAAUUACUGGGCGUAAAGCGUGCGCAGGCGGUUAUAUAAGACAGAUGUGAAAUCCCCGGGCUCAACCUGGGAACUGCAUUUGUGACUGUAUAGCUAGAGUACGGUAGAGGGGGAUGGAAUUCCGCGUGUAGCAGUGAAAUGCGUAGAUAUGCGGAGGAACACCGAUGGCGAAGGCAAUCCCCUGGACCUGUACUGACGCUCAUGCACGAAAGCGUGGGGAGCAAACAGGAUUAGAUACCCUUGUAGUCC